UGUUGAAGAAGGCCUUUGGGUUGUAAAGCACUUUAAGCGAGGAGGAGGCUACUUGGAUUAAUACUCUAGGAUAGUGGACGUACUCGCAGAAUAAGCACCGGCUAACUCUGUGCCAGCAGCCGCGGUAAUACAGAGGGUGCGAGCGUUAAUCGGAUUUACUGGGCGUAAAGCGUGCGUAGGCGGCUUUUUAAGUCGGAUGUGAAAUCCCUGAGCUUAACUUAGGAAUUGCAUUCGAUACUGGGAAGCUAGAGUAUGGGAGAGGAUGGUAGAAUUCCAGGUGUAGCGGUGAAAUGCGUAGAGAUCUGGAGGAAUACCGAUGGCGAAGGCAGCCAUCUGGCCUAAUACUGACGCUGAGGUACGAAAGCAUGGGGAGCAAACAGGAUUAGAUACCCUGGUAGUCCAUGCCGUAAACGAUGUCUACUAGCCGUUGGGGCCUUUGAGGCUUUAGUGGCGCAGCUAACGCGAUAAGUAGACCGCCUGGGGAGUACGGUCGCAAGACUAAAACUCAAAUGAAUUGACGGGGGCCCGCACAAGCGGUGGAGCAUGUGGUUUAAUUCGAUGCAACGCGAAGAACCUUACCUGGUCUUGACAUAGUAAGAACUUUCCAGAGAUGGAUUGGUGCCUUCGGGAACUUACAUACAGGUGCUGCAUGGCUGUCGUCAGCUCGUGUCGUGAGAUGUUGGGUUAAGUCCCGCAACGAGCGCAACCCUUUUCCUUAUUUGCCAGCGGGUUAAGCCGGGAACUUUAAGGAUACUGCCAGUGACAAACUGGAGGAAGGCGGGGACGACGUCAAGUCAUCAUGGCCCUUACGACCAGGGCUACACACGUGCUACAAUGGUCGGUACAAAGGGUUGCUACCUAGCGAUAGGAUGCUAAUCUCAAAAAGCCGAUCGUAGUCCGGAUUGGAGUCUGCAACUCGACUCCAUGAAGUCGGAAUCGCUAGUAAUCGCGGAUCAGAAUGCCGCGGUGAAUACGUUCCCGGGCCUUGUACACACCGCCCGUCACACCAUGGGAAUUUGUUGCACCAGAAGUAGGUAGUCUAACCGCAAGGAGGACGCUACCACGGUGACCCA
This 1073-nucleotide ribosomal RNA is filed under the name Acinetobacter sp. RNAcentral describes it as "bacterial SSU rRNA". It matches the Rfam family "Bacterial small subunit ribosomal RNA", at positions 404 to 1469 of the family's 1533-position model. The record is from RNAcentral. Lineage: Bacteria; Pseudomonadati; Pseudomonadota; Gammaproteobacteria; Moraxellales; Moraxellaceae.